This 253-nucleotide ribosomal RNA is filed under the name uncultured bacterium. RNAcentral's name for it is "partial 16S ribosomal RNA". It matches the Rfam family "Bacterial small subunit ribosomal RNA", at positions 524 to 776 of the family's 1533-position model. The record is from RNAcentral.
UACGUAGGGCGCAAGCGUUAUCCGGAAUUAUUGGGCGUAAAGAGCUCGUAGGCGGUUUGUCGCGUCUGCCGUGAAAGUCCGGGCUCAACUCCGGAUCUGCGGUGGGUACGGGCAGACUAGAGUGAUGUAGGGGAGACUGGAAUUCCUGGUGUAGCGGUGAAAUGCGCAGAGUAUCAGGAGGAACACCGGCGGCGAAGGCGGGUCUCUGGGCCGUAACUGACGCUGGAGGAGCGAAGCGUGGGGAGCGAACAGG